GCUUACGGCCAUACCUCUUCUGGCUCCGCCUGAUCUCGUCUGAUCUCAGAAGCUAAGCAGAGUAGGGCCUGGUUUAGUACUUAGGAUGGAAGACCCGCCCUGGGAAUCCCCAGGUGCCGUAAGCU
Gasterosteus aculeatus aculeatus (three-spined stickleback) is the source of this 125-nucleotide ribosomal RNA. Lineage: Eukaryota; Metazoa; Chordata; Actinopteri; Perciformes; Gasterosteidae. The record is from Ensembl.